AUGCAGAUUACCGAUUGUUAAGAAAACUUGAUAUCGGCCCUAAUUAAUCGGCCAUGCCGAUUAAUCAGUCGACCUCUAGUUUGUACGGGGGAUAAUUUGAUGUAGGCCUCAUAAAACAUUGUGUACUUCCUACAGGAGAGGCUGUGUGAGCGGACUGACUCUGAAGCUGAUCAAGGCAUCAGUGACGGAGAUGCUGGAUACUGUCUGAUGACGACUAUGUCAACGUGGCCAGGUCUUUCUUCAAACCCUCUUCUGCUCCGUCCUUCUCUCUCCUGCCCUGUUUCAGUUUAAUGAGAAGGCAGAGGCAGUGGUCCCUUGCUUCAAACAUCUGGUCCAGGCCAACGUUCGCAACAAGAAGAUCUUCAAAGAGACUGUGCAGAUCAUGCAAUAUAAAGGCACCACAGACUACAAGUCUGGUUUCCACUUUGCCAACAAUCAGCUACUAAACGUAAAUGACUCAAAGCUCAACACUCUGAAUGACCGCACUAUGGACUAGUGAUGCCCAAUUCUUUGUUACUACUAUAAAUUACAUUUAAUUAUAGAUAACAGACCAGUAUAACAUAUAACAGUGGCUCUCUAGGAGUAGACAGUGUUAUAUAUGGAACGGGUGAUCCUGUUUGGCUUAGUUGGUAAGAGCAUGGCGCCUGAGUCACAUGUUUGAUUCCCCCUGGGGCCACCCAUACGAAAAUUAAAAAAAAUGCACUCACUGAUGUAAGUGGCUUUGGAUAGUCUUCCCCUCUUGCCUGCUUUAUAUAUCACAUAUUAACUUUCUGUAUUAAUGAUUCACUGGCUGUGUUAUGUAUUCAUGUCACACUCUCUUUAUCUUUCACUUUCUGUCUUUCUCAGAAGACAAAUGUCCUCCAAGCUCACUGCAAUAAAAUAAUCAUGCUGUUCACGGAUGGAGGAGAGGAUUGAGCUCAGGACAUCUCUAAGCAGUACAACUGGCCAAAACACAAGCAGACCUCUCUCUCUCUAUCUCUAUCUGUGCCAUAAGGAUUAACACCCAGGUGUGUUUGUCUAGUGACUCUCACACAGCUCAUCAUGGGUCUGUCAGUUUUCCUCCUAGCAAUGCUUCCUACUUCCCGGAAAUGUUGUUGUUAAUUAGUGGAGACUGACUCUAAUGCAGCGCAUAUAUAUUCGAAUUACCUUGAGGUUGUUACUGUGAAGUGUUUUCACUUUACAGCUUCAUGGCAGACAAAGUUAUCAAGAUAGGCCAACUUUACUGAGCAUGUUUCAGUCAGCAACAGUACAUAGUCAAGUGAACUAGAUUUCUGUUUCCUGUGUAACAAACGGCAUCCUAUUCUCUACAUAAUGCUCUACUUUUAACCAGAGCCCUAUGUGUCCUGGUCAAAAGUAGUGCACUGCAAAGGGACUACAGUAUGAGUAACAUCAGUAUUGCUCCACAGCUGAUGCCUGACUGUUUGCUAUUCCUGUGUAUUGUUACCAGGAGUACAUGGACGUGCUGGGUUGCCCCAUGGUCCUGGCAAGCAGCCGUGCCAAGCAGGUUCAGUGGACCAACGUCUAUCAGGAUGCCUUGGUGAGAGAUCACCUGGCUCAGGACACUAGCCUUAUACACUUUCUUAUAUAUUGGCCUUAUGCACUUUCUUACAGGCUACAUUGGUCUUAUGCACUUUCUUACAGGCUACAUUGGCCUUAUGCACUUUCUACUGACAGAGACAUACAUUUGAGUUCUCUGGAGAUUUUGGGGCGGUUUCAGAGCUUAGUCCUGAUUACAGGACACGGAUUAAGCGGACAAAGAGUAAGCCUAGUCCUGGACUAUGAUGUGUUCUGUUGGUAGUGUCCGGGAGGACUAGGGAAAUUAGGGAAGAUUAGUGAAAAUACUUAACAUUUUGUUAUUCUUAGGGUCUGGGACUGGUUUUUACUGGAACAAUUCCUGUUUUAAAUCUCACUGUGGAUGGAAACUCACAGGUACAGCCAUUUAAAUUGGCCCAUGUUGACCGAUGCACAGCUUUGUUUACUAAAACACCCUUUCUUGAUGUUGUGUUUGCGGGUUUUUUUCGCCAAAGAAUCAGCUGAUAUUAAGUGUCAUGGGGGUGGACGUACAUCUGGAGGAAAUCAAGAAGCUGACGCCAACAUACAAUGUUAGUAUACUGCAGUAUAUCGCACUUCA
Molecule: non-coding RNA, 2131 nt
Organism: Salmo salar (Atlantic salmon)
Lineage: Eukaryota; Metazoa; Chordata; Actinopteri; Salmoniformes; Salmonidae
Source: RefSeq, a predicted model, not a curated record